GUCGAAUGGUAAUGCAGCCGACUGCAGGUGUCAGGUUGGCGGUUCGAAUCCUGGUC
RNAcentral lists this transfer RNA (56 nucleotides) under Eutreptiella gymnastica. Lineage: Eukaryota; Euglenozoa; Euglenophyceae; Eutreptiales; Eutreptiaceae. The record is from RNAcentral.